CCAGGAUGGGCGUCUAUCUGCAGUCGACGCUUUGUGGUCCAACUGAUUUGAAGAGCUUGCUCAGAUAUGACGAUGGACAUUGCAAAGAGUGGCGAACGGGUGAGUAACACGUGGGAAACCUACCUCUUAGCAGGGGAUAACACUUGGAAACAAGUGCUAAUACCGUAUAACACUAAUAACCGCAUGGUUAUUAGUUAAAAGAUGGUCUUGCUAUCACUAAGAGAUGGUCCCGCGGUGUAUUAGCUAGUUGGUAAGGUAAUGGCUUACCAAGGCAAUGAUACAUAGCCGAGUUGAGAGACUGAUCGGCCACAAUGGGACUGAGACACGGCCCAUACUCCUACGGGAGGCAGCAGUAGGGAAUCUUCCACAAUGGACGAAAGUCUGAUGGAGCAACGCCGCGUGUGUGAUGAAGGGUUUCGGCUCGUAAAACACUGUUGUAAGAGAAGAAUGACAUUGAGAGUAACUGUUCAGUGUGUGACGGUAUCUUACCAGAAAGGAACGGCUAAAUACGUGCCAGCAGCCGCGGUAAUACGUAUGUUCCAAGCGUUAUCCGGAUUUAUUGGGCGUAAAGCGAGCGCAGACGGUUAUUUAAGUCCGAAGUGAAAGCCCACAGCUUAACUGUGGAAGUGCUUUGGAAACUGGAUAACUUGAGUGCAGUAGAGGAGAGUGGAACUCCAUGUGUAGCGGUGAAAUGCGUAGAUAUAUGGAAGAACACCAGUGGCGAAGGCGGCUCUCUGGACUGUAACUGACGUUGAGGCUCGAAAGUGUGGGUAGCAAACAGGAUUAGAUACCCUGGUAGUCCACACCGUAAACGAUGAGUGCUAGAUGUUUGAGGGUUUCCGCCCUUAAGUGUCGCAGCUAACGCAUUAAGCACUCCGCCUGGGGAGUACGACCGCAAGGUUGAAACUCAAAGGAAUUGACGGGGACCCGCACAAGCGGUGGAGCAUGUGGUUUAAUUCGAAGCAACGCGAAGAACCCUUACCAGGUCUUGACAUCCUUUGACCACUUCAGAGAUGAAGCUUUCCCUUCGGGGACAAAGUGACAGGUGUGCAUGGAUUGUCGUCAGCUCGUGUCGUGAGAUGUUGGGUUAAGUCCCGCAACGAGCGCAACCCUUUAUUUACCU
Molecule: ribosomal RNA, 1123 nt
Filed under: Weissella viridescens
Lineage: Bacteria; Bacillati; Bacillota; Bacilli; Lactobacillales; Lactobacillaceae
Description: bacterial SSU rRNA
Rfam family: Bacterial small subunit ribosomal RNA
Source: RNAcentral